GUUACUGUCCCUGCCAUGCGGCUUCUUGCAUGUUCAGAGGCAUUGGAAGAUGCAUGUUUGUAACUUGCUAUCCCUUUGUGCAGUGCAUGGGUUUGGAUGAACAUAGACAUCGCCACCAUCACCAUGGCAAGCACUUUGAUUGAUUGUUUGAGGGGCUUUAACAUGAACAUUUGAGCUCCUUCUUCCAAACACCUGCAUCAAAACAGAGCAGAACAUCCACCAUUAAGAUAUUUACUGGUUAUAUAUUAAUAAAUAGAGAUUUUUGAUAUUUAGUGUUGAUGAGAAUUACUGGUUAAUCCGUGUUGGUAUGUUCUCCGAUGACAUGAUCACUACCGGAACCUCCUUCAUGCUAGAUGAUUCCUAUUUCCAAAGAAAAAUAACAUAUUGUAAUGAUUAAUCUAUACUUACAUAUAAUGAGAACAUCUAAAUCAGUAUAUCUA
Molecule: long non-coding RNA, 440 nt
Organism: Arachis duranensis
Lineage: Eukaryota; Viridiplantae; Streptophyta; Magnoliopsida; Fabales; Fabaceae
Exons: 2
Source: RefSeq, a predicted model, not a curated record